Molecule: non-coding RNA, 243 nt
Organism: Vicia faba (fava bean)
Lineage: Eukaryota; Viridiplantae; Streptophyta; Magnoliopsida; Fabales; Fabaceae
Source: the annotation of a GenBank genome assembly
AUGCAAAGCAACAUGAAAAUCAUCUAUUACAGCCGUACAUUUUUAUCUAUAAUUGGUGGGGUUGUUGCUGGUAUUUUGGGAUUUACGGGCUUGUACGGAUUUGUCUUUUACUUACUUCUCAUGGCAUUUACUUCCGUUGGGCUCAUAGUCAAAUCAAAGUUUUCAAUCCACACAUACUUUGAUUCCUGGAAUCGCGUGCUAGUUGAUGGCUUUCUCGGUGGUCUAAUAAUGAUUUGCAUAUGA